This 3605-nucleotide long non-coding RNA is filed under the name Homo sapiens (human). RNAcentral's name for it is "non-protein coding LINC01088:32". The record is from RNAcentral. Lineage: Eukaryota; Metazoa; Chordata; Mammalia; Primates; Hominidae.
ACUGGGAUGCUGCCUUGCACUUAGGGAAGGUUCACAUGCCUCAAGGAUCUCUCUCUCUCAGAUUUCUUGACUUUCCCUCAGUCUUCAGUAUAGUCCUCCUCUGUGCCUGGUGAAGACCUGUGGUAAAGUGCUGGCAGGUGAGUACAGCUUGAUGGUGUGGAUGGGUUCCUUGGGACUCCAGCAUGUCAAGCUAGUUCACACACAGGUCUUAAUAGUUGUCUAAGAUUCAUGUAGUUCCUCAUUUUCUUUUCUGUGGUAGAUUCUGUUUCCUGCUGCACCACCAGGGAUGAAAAAAUUCACUGGUCUCUUCUUUUAUAGAACGGGAUCAUAACUAUACAGAUUUUAGUUAAGUUAGCUUUAUUAGUAUUCUCAGCUUUUUUAAUGGGAUAAAAAGCAAUGAUAUUAUGGAUUAUCUGACUUUUCCUUUAGUAUUAGGUUUGCCCAAUCAUCUCCAUGAUUUCUAAAUUCCAAACUUCUUGAAUAAAUAAAAUUUAAAAGAAAACAUUGUACUAAAGUCAAAAGAAGGGUUUUAAGGCAUAGUUCUACUUUUUACUGUCCAUGUAUCCUUGGAUAAACUACUUCUCUGAAAUUGUAUUGCUUGCUUUUUCAGCUUGUUGAGUCUUUCAUAAAUUUAAGGGUUGGAAUAUGUCUCUCAGACAGAAAUUGAUAGAGCUUUGCAAGUCUUCAGAUGUAUUCAAGUUUGGUAAACACUGGGUUAGGCCAUGGAUAAAAGAUUGGUCUUUGUGUGUUCAUAAGAAAACCUGGAUAGGAAGCUCUUCUUCUUACAGAAAGCCUCGAUUGAGAAGUAAAGCUGGGACUAUUAGUCCGUGUUCUGCAGUGAAAUAAUGGUAGCCAUGCAUAGAUUGAUUUAAGAUCUAUGCAUGUUAAGAUACCUGUCUUAACACAGGUAAUAGUCACAUCAGGGAAAAGAGCAACAGGCAGAACUCUUGGCUUUGUGUAAGAGCCCAAGGAAAGGGCCUGAGAGAGUACACACUGUAUCAAAGUGUAGUGUUAAUGUGAGGUGUCGGGAAAAAGGUCUUGGGUGUGUGUGUGUCUGCAUAAUAUAUGUGUGGAAAACUCUCAGUGCUGGUCCUUUGAGAUAUGUCUGUGAAAACUCUUUCAAUUAACAAAAAUAACCAACAUUAAUUGAAUACUUUUUAUGUGCCAGUCACUGUUCCAAGUUCUCUACAAAAGGUAAUUCUUUAGUCCUUAUAGUAAUACUGUAGUGGUGCUGAUACUAUUUUUAUCUUCAUUUUUCAGAGAGGAAGCUAAAUCACGUAAAAAUUAAGAAACAGCUCAGCGUUUCACAGCUAGUAAGUAACAGAGAUGGGCUUGAGACCCAGAUUGGCAGGAUCCAGGUCUUGUGCUCAUGACGACUCUGCUAUGGUGCCUCCCUUGAAAGCAUCUUAGUGCUUUCAUUGUUGUUUUUGUUAUUGUUAUUCUUACUAUUAUUUUGUACCCCCUUGGUGGAUAGUGGCUGUGAAUUUGUAGUUGUUGGUGUGUUUCUUCUGGAGCGUAAGCUCCUUCCUCCUCUAUUGUUAGCCAGAGUUUUUGUUACCUUUGAAAUAAUUGCUAAAUCAACAAAACAUCUGUUACAUUGCUGCUGCUCGAAUGGCUAUCUUUUAGAAUUAGCACUCUUCUUUCUGAAUCUGAUGCCACAGCCUUUUGAACUUAAGGUAUUUGGAUGUGUCAGUAAAGGGGCUGUGGUAGCUGUGGUGACAGCAACUCCAAUGGUGGUGACCGUAGAGAAUGUGGCAGAGCUGUGAAUGAGAUGAAGAGAUUUAGUGAUGGCAGAGGAAACUUUGGGAUUUCACAACUUUCUUCCUCCAAAAACUAUUUGAAAGCAGAUAUGAGGAGUGGGAAAUACAGAAACAAUUCCAGCCUUUGUGCACCUUACAGCAUAAUGAGUGAUGCUCACAGCUGAUAAAUAAUAAUAGCAAAUACCUGUAUAGAACUUACUAUGUACUGGACACUUUCCCAAAUAUUUUACAUGCGUUAUCUCACAUGUUCCACUCAAUAAUCCCAGAAGAUGGAACUCUGAUCUCUAGUUUGCAGUUGAGGAAACUGAGGCAAAGCAAGGUUAAGGAGCUUGCUCAAGAUCCCACAACCAGUAGGUGACAGAACUGAUAUUUGAACCUAGGAAGAUUGGCUUGAGAAUCUGACACUUAAACACUAUCCUAUUCUGCUAACAAAUAAUGAAUCAGUUGGCAACUAUGGUAAGAGCUACAGAGACAAUGAGAAGAUGAGGGGGAUUGAGCUGAGUCUGGAGGGUUUGGGAAGACUUGCCUGAUGAAGUGAUGAGGAGUGAUGAAAAAGUCAGCCAGGUGAAGGGGCUUGUGUAUAUGUACAUGUGUGUGCCUGUGUUCCUCUGCCCAUGCAUGUGGCAUGGUCAGGGAGACACAUUUUUAGGACUUGUGUAACACAUCUCUGUAAAUAGCUUCAAAAUAAAAUAUCAAUUUGUGAUUCUUGUAAUGGAAAUUUACUUCAUACACAACUUUCAGGCACUGUUUUGUAGCAUAAUUCAAAGUGAUGCUGUCUUUGUAUACGGCUUUAAGACAGUUUUUGAGCACAUAUCUCUGCAUGUCUGUGUCCUGCUUUGUGGGCAGUAAGAAGCUUGGGAAUCCCGGAAAGCUGAAUUCACAUUCCAGCUUUUUAGCCGUGGUCAUUGCUCAGUUAUUUGGGGUUGUGUUCUCUGUUUGUUGAUUAAUAGAAAAUGCAUUAAAAGUGCAUAAAAUAGAAAAAUUACCCCCAAUCAGUGCAAACGUCCACAUAUCUGAAGGCUUCUGUUGCAGGUGCCUGGUAAUCAUCAGAACCCCUCUAGUGAGACCACCAGGUUAUUUCUGGGCUCCAUCCCAGAGUCAAUGGUCCCUCAAAAAGGAAGCUUUUGUUUACUGUAAGCAAAACCAAAUGGGAUUAGGAGGGCCAUGGAUUCAAGAACUCUAAAGACAGGGUUGAGAAAUUAAGUGAGAAGGAGAAGACAGAGGAAGAUCUAAGCAUUGAGAUUACUCCUCUGCCCAACUUAGUUGUGUUCUAACAUUUUUAAAAACGAGAUUAACUGGGAAGCAAAUAGAAAUUAGACUAUUUAUUAGCAAGCCUUUAGCAGUUUCUCAUCAAGUGACACAUUUGGUGUUUAGUGUUCCUAAUGAGUUGCACUAGGGUUAUUUUUACACUUUUGGGCAUCUGUGGAGUGGUAAAUGUGUUCCUAAAUAUUAGAUAUAAUUACAAUAAAAUAUGUUUAUAUAAAUUUACUUGCUACCAGAUUCAGACUAGUUUUGUUUUAAUCAGGGUUUAGAAUUAUACAUGACUUUCAUCUCUCUUCACCUUUAUCAUCAUUAAUCAAGAGCUGACUAUAUCAGAUGUCUGCACUUGAGUGGACACACUGGAUCUCUUUGAAUUUUGGUUUUCGAAUGAUUUUAAUCCUCUUUUUCUUUUUUUUUAUUGUUUAUUUUUAACAUUGAGAUUAUUUAUUAGUGACUACAAGUGGAAACAGAGCAGAGGUGUGCAACGCUCAUCACCCAGAUAACUAAUUUGCCCUUUAAAUUGCAUAUCUGCCUCUUUUUUUUUUGUUUGUUUCUUUUUUUUUUAUUAUUAUACUUUAAGUUUUA